ACUCAAAAUUCUACGUUAGAGAGACUGAAAAGACAUCUAAUUUCAUUGCUCGGCAGCUUAGCAGAGUGAGCACAUAGCAUGUGUUGGAAGAGACAACAUCCUGUGCCUGCUCUCCAGAAUGUUGAGAUUGCCCGAGAAGUGACCCCAGCAAAAGAAAAAUAUUGCUCUACCUAAAUUCAAGAGGAAUUCCACAAAUUGUUACCACAUACCUGUGUGGCUUCACCAUUGUGAAGGAAGAAUGAAGACCUAAGCUGAGCCAGGUUGUCGGCUUCAACCCAACAUUAUUGUCGUUGUUGUUGUUUCCUCUUCUUUAUUAGUUUUAAAUGUUAAUUGCACUAUGUUAAAAUUCUGUUGUCUGGGUUAAGGUUGGGGAAUUUGUUGCUGUGUUUUAUAAAUUUUUGUUAAGUUCAUAAUUGGUGAAGAAAUACUGUGAUACAGGUUUAACCUGUUAUUUCAAUACAGAAGGCACCAGAAUAAUUUUCAAGCCAUACAUUGA
This 496-nucleotide small RNA is filed under the name Pongo abelii (Sumatran orangutan). RNAcentral describes it as "processed transcript". Lineage: Eukaryota; Metazoa; Chordata; Mammalia; Primates; Hominidae. The record is from RNAcentral.